GGAACUAUGCUGGAUUAAUAAUCCAAUACUAUGGUCAGUGAAGCGCGUGGGCAACAGAAGUCAGGAAGGAAACAAUCACGGAGCACCAACUGCCCGCAACCCCCCACUACUCCACAGCAUCUGCGGCUUCCCCGUGGGCUCUGCUACACAUCCAGAGUAAUUCCGACACGCCUGAGAACACGAGGUCGAGCAACUUUGUGUAUGACGAUGGGAACCAACCCCUCCUGCAUGUGAAGAGUGGGGAGAAGAAGAGCUUGCUGGGAUGCUCACAGCAGACAGGCAACCGUGCACACGCCCAGGAACGCUCAGUGACAGCUCAGGGGCCGGCCAGGCCACUGGUACCACAGUCCCUCAUAGGUACCUUAUAUACAGCAUUACUUUUAUUUGGAUUCCCUUUUUGUCUUUUGUUUCCAUACUGGUUUUACUUAAUACCUGAAUAAUCUACACAGAAACUUGAUUUAACCUACUUCCUGUAAAGCUUAUGCAUGUACAGCUGAAAUGAUGACACUGGCAUUUAAACUAGUCAUGUGCUAAAUCUUAACAGUAUAUCUUGAGAAAUCUGAAGUCACGUGAAAGAAAACAUUUAAAACUACUUUCGGAAGUGACUCCUAUGUAUGCAGCAAAUUCAUCUAUCUACGCACACACAUACAGAAGACAGCUUGGGAAUGACUGGGAAUAGAGUAACUGCGGUUAACUGUAGCUCUCACUAAACUAUGAACGUAACUGUGGUGAAAAUGCUACUCUGCCCACAAGGAAGACCCGCUAUGAGGAGACGGCAGCCCUCUGGCGUGGGACCGCUGGGCCCUGUGCGGAGGCCCCUCCC
This is a non-coding RNA of Kogia breviceps (pygmy sperm whale), 823 nucleotides long. Lineage: Eukaryota; Metazoa; Chordata; Mammalia; Artiodactyla; Physeteridae. The record is from RefSeq and is a predicted model, not a curated record.